RNAcentral lists this ribosomal RNA (505 nucleotides) under uncultured bacterium. RNAcentral describes it as "partial 16S ribosomal RNA". It matches the Rfam family "Bacterial small subunit ribosomal RNA", at positions 28 to 507 of the family's 1533-position model. The record is from RNAcentral.
GACGAACGCUGGCGGCGUGCCUAAUACAUGCAAGUAGAACGCACAGUUUAUACCGUAGCUUGCUACACCAUAAACUGUGAGUUGCGAACGGGUGAGUAACGCGUAGGUAACCUGCCUGGUAGCGGGGGAUAACUAUUGGAAACGAUAGCUAAUACCGCAUAAUAUUAAUUAUUGCAUGAUAAUUGAUUGAAAGAUGCAAUUGCAUCACUACCAGAUGGACCUGCGUUGUAUUAGCUAGUAGGUGAGGUAACGGCUCACCUAGGCGACGAUACAUAGCCGACCUGAGAGGGUGAUCGGCCACACUGGGACUGAGACACGGCCCAGACUCCUACGGGAGGCAGCAGUAGGGAAUCUUCGGCAAUGGACGAAAGUCUGACCGAGCAACGCCGCGUGAGUGAAGAAGGUUUUCGGAUCGUAAAGCUCUGUUGUAAGAGAAGAACGGGUGUGAGAGUGGAAAGUUCACUCUGUGACGGUAUCUUACCAGAAAGGGACGGCUAACUACGUG